Molecule: long non-coding RNA, 407 nt
Filed under: Pan troglodytes (chimpanzee)
Lineage: Eukaryota; Metazoa; Chordata; Mammalia; Primates; Hominidae
Description: long non-coding RNA NONPTRT008975
Source: RNAcentral
GUAUCCUUGUGGGUUGGGGGAGGAAUGGGUAGGGAUUCUCUUCUGCUAUUCCCUUUUCCUACUGAUUGGAUUGCAAAUGCGAUGCCCUCUCCAAGGAUUCCACCGCUGACUCAUUCAGUCACAGACAUACUCUGAGAGGACUGGGAAGAGAUAGCUUUUUUUUUUUUUUUACAAAGUCAGACUUACUACUCCUUUACUCCCAUGGCACAUUCUGAGUCAAUUUCCUGGACCAAACAAAAAAGGGGGGAGGAGUAGUUGUUGAGGUUUAUAACUACAAACACUUCCUGGAAAAAGUGGCAGAAAGGCUGAGCCAGGAGAGGGAGGCUGGACUAGGAAAGGGGGCAGGAAGUUGCUUGUGAUGAUAUUCUAGGGGGACAAGUCCUCUGCGAGUACCAACCAUCCCAGCA